Heterocephalus glaber (naked mole-rat) is the source of this 1638-nucleotide non-coding RNA. The record is from RefSeq and is a predicted model, not a curated record. NCBI's taxonomy places the organism in Eukaryota, Metazoa, Chordata, Mammalia, Rodentia, Bathyergidae.
UUAGUUCGUGACACCACUCUUCAUGGGAGAAGAGCGCAGAAGAGAGGCUGGGCCAUUUCUACACACUGAAAACCCCCUGUGGGGAGCUCAUGAAGGACCAAUGGUUCCUCAGAUCUGCAAAUGUGAAUCUCUUUAAAGCAAUAAAAAGCGAGGCUUGAUCUGGCAUUUGAUGGAGAAACAGAGGGCAGCUCAGAAUAUCCUUUCCCCAUUAUGUUCAGAAUGUGAGGAAAUGAACACAAAGGAAAGUAUGGUAACAAAAUCAAUAGCAUCAAUCAACAAAGCAGAGGCUCAUGACCAAAGCUCAAGCAUAGAAAGUGUUGGAGACUGAUGCUGGGGAGAACAGAUUGAAUUAUGGACAAUGGGGCUGACACAUUCAGAAAAGGAUCCCAAGAAAAACCAUCCGAAGUCCUUUGGGUUCUGUAAGUGGAAUGGGAUGUACAUCCAUGGUUGAGAAUGAUAACCCUGAUAAAGGGCUUAUUAAAAUGCACCUCUUUAUUAUGAAAAUGCUCACGCAUAUUCUAAAAAGGAAAGAAAUGGCCAAUGCACCAAGCACUCAUUACCCGAACUUCAUGCUCCUUUGCCAAGCCCUUCUGUUAUGCUGCUCCCGGCUCUGCCUCGCCUCUCUAUUUGGAGCUUGGGAAGGUGUUUCCCAAAUCACUCACUUUCUGUAGCCCAGGGCAGGCCUAUUACAGAGCAAGUAUUCAACGGUGUUUGCUAAAUGAGUCAAUGAAUCAAUGAAUGAAUCAAUCUCCAUUUAGCCAGUUAUUCCACUUUCCAGAAAAUGAAUCUGCCUUUAGUAAAAGAUGGAUACUGUACAUGAUGAAUAUGAUCCUAGGAAAAUUAUGCAAGGAACAACAACACAUAGAAACACCUUCAGGACAUGCUUUCCAAAGAUAAUUCAGACUAACAUCGUGGAUUCUUCUUAAAUGAGUAAGAGAAGCCUGCUGGUGGAGGCUUCCCAGGAGUACCGGGGCUGAGAACAGCCGGCAGCCCGCUGGGGACUGGACACAGGUCCACAUCACAGCUGAUGCUGAGAUAUCAGCCUGAAGACAAAGCACUUUGUACAAAUGUGAGGUCCAUGCUGAUGCAAGUUUGCCUGCUCUGGUGGUGAAUUUCAUGUGUGAAAAUCUAGUGCAAAUAAGAAGUGCACACACAUAUGCUUUUGUGUAGACAUAAAAAAACAAACAUGAACACACACAAUUACUUUAUUUUUGCCAUUUAUUUCCCACGUGCCUCAGAGGCUGCCUUUAUUUAUCUGGGAUUAAUAUGAAUCUUUUCCUAAUAUAGUUGUGUGAAAAUGUGAAUACAUGAUAUUAGAAUUUCUAAUGUCAAUUAAAAUGUAAUUUAGUAAAUCGUCAAGAUAUUUUAGUUUACACUACACUAGAUAGCUAAGUAUUUUGAACUAUGUUAAAAAUUAUUGCCAUUAUUAAAAAGUACCCUUAUUGAGAAUAUGUUUCCUUUAAGUAAUCUAUAAUUUCUUCUGAGACAAAUACUAAUAUUUGGAAGCAAGUGGAAUUAGAAUGAAAUCAAAGUACUCAGAAGAAACUCUAUUUGUGGGAAAAUUAAUGGCAUAAAAGCAUGGGGCAUCUGUAAAAGAGGAAUUUUUAAAGAGCUAAUAUAGAAAUGUGACAUUUAUAC